Non-coding RNA from Aedes albopictus (Asian tiger mosquito), 73 nucleotides. Lineage: Eukaryota; Metazoa; Arthropoda; Insecta; Diptera; Culicidae. The record is from Rfam.
GGCUGGGUGGUCUAGUGGAUACCACUUCUGAUUCGUAUGCAGAAGGUCUUGGGUUCAAUCCCUGGCCCGCCCA